CCACCUAGCAACCGCACCAGGAGCCAUGUUGGAAGACCAUUCAGUCUGUUGGAAGUCCUCCAAUAGUCCAAAUGGCUGGCUGUGUUCCGCUAUCACUGGAAACUUCGGGAAGAUUGCCCAUUAUUUUGUUUUUCUAAGGACCCAGAAAACGGAGGCAUUGAGCGAACCUAUUCAAAUAUAGAGAGCCGUGAAACCCUGUCUGCAGAUGAAGAGGUCCCAAUGAAUGUCCCAAGAGAAUAAAGGGGCCUCCCGAGUGGCGUAGUGGUCCAAGGCACUGCAUCGCAGUGCUAGAGGCGUCACUACAGACCCAGGUUUGAUCCCAGGUUGUGUCGCCGCGACCGAAAGACCAAUGAGGUGGCGCACAUGCACAAUUGGCCCAGUGUCUAGCAACUCCCUGUGCCAGGCCAGUAUGGUGUUUCCUCCGACACAUCGGUGCGGCUGGCUUCUGGUUUAAGCAAACAGUGUGUCAAGAACAUGUGCAGCAUGGCAGGGUUGUGUUUCGAAGGAUGCUUUCAACCUUCACCUCUCACGAGUCCGUACGGGAGUUGCAGCGACGGGACAAGACUGUAACUACCAAUUGGAUAUCACUAAAAAGUACACUUUUUUUUUUACAAAGAAAUAAGUUAUAAUUGUUAACUUAAAACUAUAUUAUUCAAGAUGAACUAGUGUCAAUGUUGAUUAACCACAGCUCACAAUCCUGCAAUAAAGAGGGUAAGGGAAUUUGUCUCUGUUGUAUUCUCAAAUGAGCACGACCUACGUUUUUGUUCAGUUGUAAGCUGUCCAUUUUUUUUUGUUUGAUUGUCACUCUUUUUUUUCAAGAUACAGCAUCAGCCAUGUGAGCCCAUUUUGCAGCUGAUAAUGGCAUGGAAAGCCAAUGCAGUCAUAGACCUACAGCAGUGGUUCCCAACUCCCGUCCUUGAGUACCCCCAAUAGCACACAUUUUUGUUGCAGCUCUGGACAAACAUACCUGAUUCAUCUGAUUGAGGGCCUGAUGAUUAGUAGAUAAGUUGAUUCAGGUGUGCUUGUCCGGGGCUACAAUAAAACUGUACUGUUGGGGGUACUCAAGGACCGGAGUUGAAAAACACUGGCCUACAGUAUGAUGGCAUUAGCCUUAUGGGCAUUUGCAAUGCACCCCUUGACAUUGUGCAUCUGAACCAGAGAACAUCUUAACUCACACAUUGUUUACAUAUUGUUGAGCUAUAUUCUCAAUUUAAAAACAAUGCCAGUAGACAAUUUAUAUGAGGCUAUUCGUUAUGCUAGAUGUUGUACAUGCCUUGUGCUGACAUUAAAUUGUUUAGUGCAAAUCCAACACUUAUAAUCUUGGUGAUGAAAUAUCUGGAAACAGGAAAUGGGAUCCUUAGCUUAAAACAUCAAUACUACAUAAUGGGAAGGCAAAAGGGAUUUUAAAAAACUUUAGCAAAUUUAUUAAAUUUUUUAAAACUGAAAUAUCAUAUUUACAUAAGUAUUCAGACCCUUUACUCACUACUUUGUUGAAGAACCUUUGGCAGUGAUUACAGCACACCUGUAUUUGGGAAGUUUCUCCCAUUCUCCUCUGCAGAUCCUCUCAAACUCUGUCAGGUUGGAUGGGGAGCGUCAUUGCACAGCUAUUUUCAGGUCUCUCCAGAGAUGUUCGACCGGGUUCAAGUUCGGGAUCUGUCUGGGCCACUCAAGGGUUGUUGUCAUGUUGGAAGGUGAACCUUCUCCCCAGUCUGAGGGCAUGAGUGCUCCACCCUGGAGCAGGUUUUCAUCAAGGAUCUCGCUGUCUUUUGCUCGGUUCAUCGUUCCCUCGAUCCUGACUAGUCUCCCAGUCCCUGCCGUUGAAUGAUGCUGCCACCACCAUGCUUCACUUUAGGGAUGGUGCCAGGUUUCAAAAAGAUGUGACACUUGGCAUUCAGGCCAAAGAGUUCAAUCUUGGUUUCAUCAGACCAGAGAAUCUUGUUCCUCGUGGUCUGAGAGUCUUUAGGGGCCUUUUGGCAAACUUCAAGCGGGUUGUCAUGUGCCUUUUACUGAGGAGUGGCUUCCGUCUGGCCACUCUACCAUAGUGAUUGGUGGAGUGCUGCAAAGAUGGUUGUCCUUCUUUAAGGUUCUCCCAUCUCCACAGAGGAACUCUGGAGCUCUGUCAGAGUGACCAUUGGGUUCUUGGUCACCUCCCUGACCAAGGACCUUCUCCCCUGAUUGCCCAGUUUGGCUGGGCGGCCAGCUCUAGGAAGAGUAUUGGUGAUUCCAAACAUCUGCCAUUUAAGAAUGAUGAAGGCCACUGUGCUCUUGGGGGACCUUCACAGGACACAAUCCUGUCUCCGAGCUCUACAGACAAUUCCUUCGACUUAAUGUCUUGGUUUUUGCUGUGACAUGCACUGUCAACUUUGCGACCUUAUAUAGACAGGUGUGUGCAAUUCCAAAUCAUGUCCAAACAUUUGAAUUUAUCACAGAUGGACUCCAAUCAAGUUGUAGAAACAUCUCAAGGAUGAUCAAUGGAAACAGGAUGCACCUGAGCUCAAUUUCGUCUCAUAGUAAAGGGUCUGAAUACUUGUGUAAAUAAUGUAUUUCAGUUUUUUUAAUAUACAUUUGCUACAAGAAUAUAUAUAAUAAUGGAUAAUGGACCUCAUUGUAUAAUUUGUGUCUCCCCUUUUCAUGGUCGUGGCUAUAAGGGAUCCAGCUUUUGUUAAAUUAAAUUCAUUUGACUUUCGUAGCAGAUUAGGAGAAUUUACGCUACCGGCUAGGAGAAUUAACGUAGCAGGUUCGGAGAAUUAGGUUAAGGUAAGGAAGGGGGUUAGGCUUAACUAAAAUGCAAAACAAAUAACUUCACAUUAAUUUAACAAAAGCUGGUUCUUUUUUUUUCAUAGGCCUAGAUUACGUGGUUACAUCAAUUCAAAGUGUAUUUGUCACAUGCGCUGACUACAACAGGUGUAGGUAGACCUUACUGUGAAAUGCUUACUUACAAGCCCUUAACCAACAAUACAGUUCAAGAAAUAGAGUUAAGAAAAUAUUUACUAAAUAAACUAAAGUAAAAGAUUUAAUAAAAAGCAACACAAUAAAAUAACAAUAACGAGGCUAUAUACAGGGGGGUACCAGUACCGAGUAAAUGUGCGGGGGUACAGGUUAGUUGAGGUAAUUUGUACAUCAAAUGUAAUUGUAUUGGUCACAUACACAUGUUUAGCAGAUGUUAUUGCGGAUGUAGUGAAAUGCUUGUACAGGAGGUAAGGAUAAUGUGACUAUGCAUAGAUAAUAAACCGCAAAUUCAAGACAA
This is a long non-coding RNA of Salvelinus fontinalis (brook trout), 3247 nucleotides long. RefSeq lists it as uncharacterized. NCBI's taxonomy places the organism in Eukaryota, Metazoa, Chordata, Actinopteri, Salmoniformes, Salmonidae. The transcript has 3 exons. The record is from RefSeq and is a predicted model, not a curated record.